This 900-nucleotide ribosomal RNA is filed under the name uncultured bacterium. RNAcentral describes it as "bacterial SSU rRNA". It matches the Rfam family "Bacterial small subunit ribosomal RNA", at positions 54 to 944 of the family's 1533-position model. The record is from RNAcentral.
CAUGCAAGUCGAGGGGAAACGACAUCGAAAGCUUGCUUUUGAUGGGCGUCGACCGGCGCACGGGUGAGUAACGCGUAUCCAACCUGCCCAUCACUUGGGGAUAACCUUGCGAAAGUAAGACUAAUACCCAAUGACGUCUCUAGAAGACAUCUGAAAGAGAUUAAAGAUUUAUCGGUGAUGGAUGGGGAUGCGUCUGAUUAGCUUGUUGGCGGGGUAACGGCCCACCAAGGCGACGAUCAGUAGGGGUUCUGAGAGGAAGGUCCCCCACAUUGGAACUGAGACACGGUCCAAACUCCUACGGGAGGCAGCAGUGAGGAAUAUUGGUCAAUGGACGAGAGUCUGGACCAGCCAAGUAGCGUGCAGGAUGACGGCCCUAUGGGUUGUAAACUGCUUUUAUAAGGGAAUAAAGUGAGUCUCGUGAGACUUUUUGCAUGUACCUUAUGAAUAAGGACCGGCUAAUUCCGUGCCAGCAGCCGCGGUAAUACGGAAGGUCCGGGCGUUAUCCGGAUUUAUUGGGUUUAAAGGGAGCGUAGGCCGGAGAUUAAGCGUGUUGUGAAAUGUAGACGCUCAACGUCUGCACUGCAGCGCGAACUGGUUUCCUUGAGUACGCACAAAGUGGGCGGAAUUCGUGGUGUAGCGGUGAAAUGCUUAGAUAUCACGAAGAACUCCGAUUGCGAAGGCAGCUCACUGGAGCGCAACUGACGCUGAAGCUCGAAAGUGCGGGUAUCGAACAGGAUUAGAUACCCUGGUAGUCCGCACGGUAAACGAUGGAUGCCCGCUGUUGGUCUGAAUAGGUCAGCGGCCAAGCGAAAGCAUUAAGCAUCCCACCUGGGGAGUACGCCGGCAACGGUGAAACUCAAAGGAAUUGACGGGGGCCCGCACAAGCGGAGGAACAUGUGG